CGAGGAAAUUCACCUGUAGUAAGGACAUGUUUGGUUCAUGAUUGGAAUAUGAAUGAGAAAUAGAAUUGGAUUAUUUUGGAAUGAAAAAUGGAACGACGAAUCAUCUAAAAAUGUUUGGUUCAUUAUUGGAAUGAAAAUCGGAAUGAAAAUUUAAAAUUUUUGAGAGAGAGUUUUGAUUAAAAGAGAGGAAAGUGACGAAGGGAGAUGAGAUAGAUGUUGGUGAAAGAGGAUUUUUAAUAGUUUAUUUUUGGAAUGAGUCAAUCCGGAAUUCAAAGCCGAAUUGCAUCGUAAAUGAAUUUGGCCAUUCCCAUUCC
Molecule: long non-coding RNA, 314 nt
Filed under: Ananas comosus (pineapple)
Lineage: Eukaryota; Viridiplantae; Streptophyta; Magnoliopsida; Poales; Bromeliaceae
Description: long non-coding RNA (ACOM_LNC038323)
Source: RNAcentral